This 84-nucleotide transfer RNA is filed under the name Lunatimonas lonarensis. It matches the Rfam family "tRNA". From Rfam's summary of the family: Transfer RNA (tRNA) molecules are approximately 80 nucleotides in length. The record is from Rfam by way of RNAcentral. Lineage: Bacteria; Pseudomonadati; Bacteroidota; Cytophagia; Cytophagales; Cyclobacteriaceae.
GCCGGGAUGGUGGAAUUGGUAGACACGCAAGACUUAAAAUCUUGUGACCGUUUGGUCGUGCGGGUUCAAGUCCCGCUCCUGGUA